GUAUAACACUGUAAUUCCAAUCGUCUGGGCUGGGAAGUUCCCGGUAAAUCCAAAAAGCAGAACCUGUGAGAACUGAUUUAAAGCCAGGAUCGAAUCCGCUGGACCCUUAGAAUUGGACGUAGCAGCGCAUCCCUUCCGACCCGGAGAUUGAAUAUAUAUAAAAUCGCUGAGAAGCGGCAAGGACCAUAUCGAGUCAUUUUAACAACACUUACAGCAGUAAAGGUCUGGGAGAAGAACCUUGGCUUCAUUAUUCAAGAAUAAAGAAAGCACCAACAGGAAAUUGGAAGUCUAAAGAAACUGGCCCUUUGAAAC
Aquila chrysaetos chrysaetos is the source of this 312-nucleotide long non-coding RNA. RefSeq lists it as uncharacterized. The transcript has 2 exons. NCBI's taxonomy places the organism in Eukaryota, Metazoa, Chordata, Aves, Accipitriformes, Accipitridae. The record is from RefSeq and is a predicted model, not a curated record.